AUCGCUUCUCGGCCUUUUGGCUAAGAUCAAGUGUAGUAAAAUAUUCUAACUAAGAGACUGAAUAGAUGAUUGAAAUGUUUUUGAUCUCUU
Molecule: small nuclear RNA, 90 nt
Filed under: Marmota monax (woodchuck)
Lineage: Eukaryota; Metazoa; Chordata; Mammalia; Rodentia; Sciuridae
Description: U2 spliceosomal RNA
Rfam family: U2 spliceosomal RNA
About the family: U2 is a small nuclear RNA (snRNA) component of the spliceosome (involved in pre-mRNA splicing).
Source: Rfam by way of RNAcentral